GAUGAACGCUGGCGGCGUGCCUAAUACAUGCAAGUCGAGCGAACAGACGAGGAGCUUGCUCCUCUGACGUUAGCGGCGGACGGGUGAGUAACACGUGGAUAACCUACCUAUAAGACUGGGAUAACUUCGGGAAACCGGAGCUAAUACCGGAUAAUAUAUUGAACCGCAUGGUUCAAUAGUGAAAGACGGUUUUGCUGUCACUUAUAGAUGGAUCCGCGCCGCAUUAGUUAGUUGGUAAGGUAACGGCUUACCAAGGCGACGAUGCGUAGCCGACCUGAGAGGGUGAUCGGCCACACUGGAACUGAGACACGGUCCAGACUCCUACGGGAGGCAGCGGUAGGGAAUCUUCCGCAAUGGGCGAAAGCUUGACGGAGCAACGCCGCGUGAGUGAUGAAGGUCUUCGGAUCGUAAAACUCUGUUAUUAGGGAAGAACAAAUGUGUAAGUAACUAUGCACGUCGUGACGGUACCUAAUCAGAAAGCCACGGCUAACUACGUG
This 497-nucleotide ribosomal RNA is filed under the name uncultured bacterium. RNAcentral's name for it is "partial 16S ribosomal RNA". It matches the Rfam family "Bacterial small subunit ribosomal RNA", at positions 28 to 507 of the family's 1533-position model. The record is from RNAcentral.